Molecule: ribosomal RNA, 253 nt
Filed under: uncultured bacterium
Lineage: Bacteria
Description: partial 16S ribosomal RNA
Rfam family: Bacterial small subunit ribosomal RNA
Source: RNAcentral
UACGUAGGGGGCGAGCGUUGUCCGGAAUCAUUGGGCGUAAAGCGCGUGUAGGCGGCUCUUUAAGUCCGGUGUGAAACCUUGGGGCUCAACCCCAAGCCUGCACUGGAUACUGACGAGCUCGAGUCCGGGAGGGGAGAGCGGAAUUCCUAGUGUAGCGGUGAAAUGCGCAGAUAUUAGGAAGAACACCAGUGGCGAAGGCAGCUUACUACGGAUCGAUUGACACUGAGGCACGAAAGCGUGGGGAGCAAACAGG